Hippocampus comes (tiger tail seahorse) is the source of this 360-nucleotide long non-coding RNA. RefSeq lists it as uncharacterized. Lineage: Eukaryota; Metazoa; Chordata; Actinopteri; Syngnathiformes; Syngnathidae. The record is from RefSeq and is a predicted model, not a curated record. The transcript is spliced from 4 exons.
UGGCGCGAAGGAAGUCGGCCAGCCACUUGACGUUGCAAUCGCACACGAAGGGGUUCUGCGCCAGGUGGCUGAGGGGACACAAAGAAUCAUUCGCCAUCUUUCAAGCUGCUGCUUGUAAGCAAACGCGGAAGUCGGAUCCCUCGCCAGUCAAGUGACAGCAGCGCCAAGCUCUCCAGAUCCUUGAAGGCCGACGCACGCACGCAGUGGAUCUUGUUGGCGUUGAGCAACCUGCAGGAGGGCGCCACACAUCGCAGAGGAACUCACAACCCAAGAUCGUCAACACAUUUAGCCAGCAAAAUCCAAAGAAGGAAGUACGUUGACCUACAGCAGCUCCAGUGAGGCCAGGCCGUCAAACACGCC